Molecule: unclassified non-coding RNA, 378 nt
Filed under: plant metagenome
Description: partial contains 5.8S ribosomal RNA, internal transcribed spacer 2, and large subunit ribosomal RNA
Rfam family: 5.8S ribosomal RNA (bases 1-105)
Source: RNAcentral
GAAAUGCGAUAAGUAAUGUGAAUUGCAGAAUUCAGUGAAUCAUCGAAUCUUUGAACGCACCUUGCGCUCCUUGGUAUUCCUUGGAGCAUGCCUGUUUGAGUAUCAUGAAAUCUUCAAAGUAAAUCUUUUGUUAACUCAAUUGGUUUCUACUUUGGUAUUGGAGGUCUUUGCAGCUUCACACCUGCUCCUCUUUGUUCAUUAGCUGGAUCUCAGUGUUAUGCUUGGUUCCACUCGGCGUGAUAAGUUAUCUAUCGCUGAGGACACUGUAAAAGGUGGGCAAGGUAAAUGCAGAUGAACCGCUUCUAAUAGUCCAUUGACUUGGACAAUACUUUUAUGAUCUGAUCUCAAAUCAGGUAGGACUACCCGCUGAACUUAAGC